Molecule: ribosomal RNA, 413 nt
Filed under: uncultured bacterium
Lineage: Bacteria
Description: bacterial SSU rRNA
Rfam family: Bacterial small subunit ribosomal RNA
Source: RNAcentral
AACGCGAAGAACCUUACCAACCCUUGACAUGGGCAUCGCGGGACCAGAGAUGGUUCUUUCAGUUCGGCUGGAUGCCACACAGGUGCUGCAUGGCUGUCGUCAGCUCGUGUCGUGAGAUGUUCGGUUAAGUCCGGCAACGAGCGCAACCCACAUCCUUAGUUGCCAUCAUUCAGUUGGGCACUCUAGGGGAACUGCCGGUGAUAAGCCGGAGGAAGGUGUGGAUGACGUCAAGUCCUCAUGGCCCUUACGGGUUGGGCUACACACGUGCUACAAUGGUGGUGACAAUGGGUUAAUCCCCAAAAGCCAUCUCAGUUCGGAUUGGGGUCUGCAACUCGACCCCAUGAAGUCGGAAUCGCUAGUAAUCGCGUAACAGCAUGACGCGGUGAAUACGUUCCCGGGUCUUGUACACACCG